Molecule: ribosomal RNA, 492 nt
Filed under: uncultured bacterium
Lineage: Bacteria
Description: partial 16S ribosomal RNA
Rfam family: Bacterial small subunit ribosomal RNA
Source: RNAcentral
AGUGAACGCUGGCGGUAGGCCUAACACAUGCAAGUCGAACGGCAGCACAGUAAGAGCUUGCUCUUACGGGUGGCGAGUGGCGGACGGGUGAGGAAUACAUCGGAAUCUACUUUUUCGUGGGGGAUAACGUAGGGAAACUUACGCUAAUACCGCAUACGACCUACGGGUGAAAGCAGGGGAUCUUCGGACCUUGCGCGAUUGAAUGAGCCGAUGUCGGAUUAGCUAGUUGGCGGGGUAAAGGCCCACCAAGGCGACGAUCCGUAGCUGGUCUGAGAGGAUGAUCAGCCACACUGGAACUGAGCCACGGUCCAGACUCCUACGGGAGGCAGCAGUGGGCAAUAUUGGACAAUGGGCGCAAGCCUGAUCCAGCCAUACCGCGUGGGUGAAGAAGGCCUUCGGGUUGUAAAGCCCUUUUGUUGGGAAAGAAAAGCAGCAGGUUAAUACCCCGCUGUUCUGACGGUACCCAAAGAAUAAGCACCGGCUAACUUCGUG